UCUCAUAACCCAUGCGCACUAGGGACCGUGCAGUGUAGGUGUCGGUAAAUAGCAAAUGCCUGGAUAUCUCUCCCUCCACACAUAUGUCAUGCUGCCUGAAUAUCAGGAUGAGUAUCAUACCGUAGGGCAAGGAGACUCUCGAUUUGCAUAUGGCCUCUCGCAUCUGCCUAAUCAUCAUAGCUGGAAGAUUCAGGGGAAUGCCUUGAAUGAC
RNAcentral lists this long non-coding RNA (211 nucleotides) under Phoenix dactylifera (date palm). Its description in RNAcentral is "long non-coding RNA (PDAC_LNC007007)". Lineage: Eukaryota; Viridiplantae; Streptophyta; Magnoliopsida; Arecales; Arecaceae. The record is from RNAcentral.